Molecule: ribosomal RNA, 370 nt
Filed under: uncultured organism
Description: bacterial SSU rRNA
Rfam family: Bacterial small subunit ribosomal RNA
Source: RNAcentral
CGUAGGGUGCGAGCGUUAAUCGGAAUUACUGGGCGUAAAGCGUGCGCAGGCGGUUAUAUAAGACAGAUGUGAAAUCCCCGGGCUCAACCUGGGAACUGCAUUUGUGACUGUAUAGCUAGAGUACGGCAGAGGGGGAUGGAAUUCCGCGUGUAGCAGUGAAAUGCGUAGAUAUGCGGAGGAACACCGAUGGCGAAGGCAAUCCCCUGGGCCUGUACUGACGCUCAUGCACGAAAGCGUGGGGAGCAAACAGGAUUAGAUACCCUGGUAGUCCAUGCCCUAAACGAUGUCAACUGGUUGUUGGGUCUUCACUGACUCAGUAACGAAGCUAACGCGUGAAGUUGACCGCCUGGGGAGUACGGCCGCAAGGUUG